GGGUUGGGCCCAUGCGACGGAUGAGGUCAAAACCCCGCCAGGGCCGGAAGGCAGCAACGGUAUGGCCGUUCUUCCGGGUGCCGUGGUUUUCUGGCUCAUG
RNAcentral lists this signal recognition particle RNA (100 nucleotides) under Kiritimatiellia bacterium. Its description in RNAcentral is "Kiritimatiellae bacterium (wastewater metagenome) signal recognition particle sRNA small type". It matches the Rfam family "Bacterial small signal recognition particle RNA". From Rfam's summary of the family: The signal recognition particle (SRP) is a universally conserved ribonucleoprotein involved in the co-translational targeting of proteins to membranes. Archaeal SRP consists of a 7S RNA and homologues of the eukaryotic SRP19 and SRP54 proteins. The record is from RNAcentral. Lineage: Bacteria; Pseudomonadati; Kiritimatiellota; Kiritimatiellia.